GAUGAACGCUGGCGGCGUGCCUAAUACAUGCAAGUCGAGCGAACAGACGAGGAGCUUGCUCCUCUGACGUUAGCGGCGGACGGGUGAGUAACACGUGGAUAACCUACCUAUAAGACUGGGAUAACUUCGGGAAACCUGAGCUAAUACCGGAUAAUAUAUUGAACCGCAUGGUUCAAUAGUGAAAGACGGUUUUCCUGUCACUUAUAGAUGGAUCCGCGCCGCAUUAGCUAGUUGGUAAGGUAACGGCUUACCAAGGCAACGAUGCGUAGCCGACCUGAGAGGGUGAUCGGCCACACUGGAACUGAGACACGGUCCUGACUCCUACGGGAGGCAGCAGUAGGGAAUCUUGCGCAAUGGGCGAAAGCAUGACGGAGCAACGCCGCGUGAGUGAUGAAGGUCUUCGGAUCGUAAAACUCUGUUAUUAGGGAAGAACAAAUUUGUAAGUAACUAUGCACGUCUUGACGGUACCUGAUCAGAAAGCCACGGCUAACUACGUG
RNAcentral lists this ribosomal RNA (497 nucleotides) under uncultured bacterium. RNAcentral describes it as "partial 16S ribosomal RNA". It matches the Rfam family "Bacterial small subunit ribosomal RNA", at positions 28 to 507 of the family's 1533-position model. The record is from RNAcentral.